GGCAAACGGGUGAGUAUAUGUGGGAAUCUGCCUUUUGGUUUGGAAUAACACGGGGAAACUUGUGCUAAUACCGAAUAAGCCCUUACGGGGAAAGUUUUAACGCCGAAAGAUGAGCCUGCACUUGAUUAGCUAGUUGGUAAGGUAAAGGCUUACCAAGGCAACGAUCAAUAGCUGUUCUUAGAGGAAGACCAGCCACAUUGGGACUGAGACACGGCCCAGACUCCUACGGGAGGCAGCAGUGGGGAAUCUUGCACAAUGGGGGAAACCCUGAUGCAGCGAUGCCGCGUGAGUGAAGAAGGCCUUUGGGUUGUAAAACUCUUUCGUCGGGGAAGAAAAUGACCGUACCCGAAUAAGAAGGUCCGGCUAACUUCGCGCCAGCAGCCGCGGUAAUACGAAGGGACCUAGCGUAGUUCGGAAUUACUGGGCUUAAAGAGCUCGUAAGUGGUUAAAAAAGUUGAUGGUGAAAUCCCAAGGCUCAACCUUGGAACUGCCAUCAAAACUUUUUAGCUAGAGUGUGAUAGAGGUAAGUGGAAUUUCUAGUGUAGAGGUGAAAUUCGUAGAUAUUAGAAAGAACACCAAAUGCGAAGGCAACUUACUGGGUCACUACUGACACUGAGGAGCGAAAGC
Molecule: ribosomal RNA, 627 nt
Filed under: uncultured marine bacterium
Lineage: Bacteria
Description: bacterial SSU rRNA
Rfam family: Bacterial small subunit ribosomal RNA
Source: RNAcentral